RNAcentral lists this ribosomal RNA (460 nucleotides) under uncultured bacterium. RNAcentral describes it as "partial 16S ribosomal RNA". It matches the Rfam family "Bacterial small subunit ribosomal RNA", at positions 338 to 795 of the family's 1533-position model. The record is from RNAcentral.
CCUACGGGGGGCAGCAGUGAGGAAUAUUGGUCAAUGGCCGGAAGGCUGAACCAGCCAUGCAGCGUGAAGGUCAGUGCCCUAUGGGCGUUAAACUUCUUUUGUGCGGGAGCAAUAAUGGUCACGUGUGGCCAGACGAGAGUACCGUACGAAUAAGCAUCGGCUAACUCCGUGCCAGCAGCCGCGGUAAUACGGGGGAUGCAAGCGUUAUCCGGAUUUAUUGGGUUUAAAGGGUGGGUGAGCUGGGAGGUAAGUCAGGGGUGAAAUGCCCCCGCUCAACGGGGUGAAGUGCCAUUGAUACUGCCUGGCUGGAAUGCGGAUGCGGUGGGAGGAAUGUGUGGUGUAGCGGUGAAAUGCAUAGAUAUCACACAGAACACCGAUUGCGAAGGCAUCUCACGAAUCCGCGAUUGACGCUGAUGCACGAAAGCGUGGGUAUCAAACAGGAUUAGAUACCCCUGUAGUC